UCACUCAUCAACGGAUAGAUUUCGACGAAUAUUUUCGAUUUUGCGGUUUCAAUGAUUUCGAAAUUAGCGCCAUCUAUUAGCCACGGAAUGUAUUUUAUCGAGUUGGCAAUCCGUCUAAGUAACCGAAACGGGCCCGGAUUUUUAUCCGACUAAGGACUGUCAACACGGCACAAUGCCUUGGAAUCAGGAAUAUUUUCUGCCGCUACAACAACAGCACUCUACUUUUCCCGCUCGAAAACCAAAAUCAUUAUAAAAAAAUGAAACCAAAUUUUCAUGAAGCUUCAAACAUAUUAAAAAAGAUAUAAGUGCUCCCUCUUUAUACGUGUUUUAUUUAUGCAUACUUUUUGUUAAAAAAUUAAGAGAAAUAAUUUUCGUAUUCUAUUCUUCCAUCUUAAUUUAUAUAGAUACAUAUGUAAAAAAUUUUACUUGAAUAUUAGUUUUAUUUACUGCGGCUUUAUUUUUUCGUAUGAAAUUAUUCCAAAAUAGAUUUUAUAGAAGAUAUUUUUUCUGCUUUAAUGAUUUUAUUAUUUAUUAUUAUAUUAUUACUUUUAUUAUUAUGGAUUAUUCCUAGUACCCGCAAGUAAUCAGAUAAUCUCCAAGCUUCUCUACUACAGAUGCGGCUUGUUGAGGUUGAACAGGAUCCUCAUAAAUAGAAA
Long non-coding RNA from Bactrocera neohumeralis, 656 nucleotides. RefSeq lists it as uncharacterized. NCBI's taxonomy places the organism in Eukaryota, Metazoa, Arthropoda, Insecta, Diptera, Tephritidae. The transcript is spliced from 2 exons. The record is from RefSeq and is a predicted model, not a curated record.